GGGUAUUUUCAUAUUAAUGGAUUGGGGUAAUCACAAUAUGUCUAAUCUCUUUCUUUCUUCCUACCCGCAGGCUAAUUGAUAUUAUUUUUCUUUACAUUCUAACCUUAUAUCUCUCUCUAAACUUAUUUUUCUCCCUAAAAUUCAACUUUUUUUCUCUCUCUAAACUAAGCUUUCUCUCUCUCUCUCUUUCUAAAAUUUCAACUUUCUCACUCCUUCUAAUUUCGACUAUAUUUUUCUUUCUAUUUUUUAAUUAUGCUCUCUCUCUCUAACUUAUACUCUCUCUCCCUUUUUUUCUAAAAAGAUGUUGAAACUUUUGGUAACAUUAUCUAAAAUUAAUUAAAUAAAUAAAUUGUAUAUUUUUUGUAAUAUUAAAUAAUAUGGCUAAUUAAUAUUACCGUGCGAACCAAACACAGAAAUUUCACAUUCUUAGUAAUAGGAUGAAUAGAAAUAAGAUUCUCGGAUAUCUUUUAUUCCUAGUAACCUUUCAUAAUGCGAACCAAACGCACCCUAAGGGUAAGGACAGGGUCCAUAUUAAUAC
RNAcentral lists this long non-coding RNA (538 nucleotides) under Ananas comosus (pineapple). RNAcentral's name for it is "long non-coding RNA (ACOM_LNC014517)". Lineage: Eukaryota; Viridiplantae; Streptophyta; Magnoliopsida; Poales; Bromeliaceae. The record is from RNAcentral.